Molecule: long non-coding RNA, 764 nt
Filed under: Athene cunicularia (burrowing owl)
Lineage: Eukaryota; Metazoa; Chordata; Aves; Strigiformes; Strigidae
Description: lncRNA (ENSACUG00000003720.1)
Source: RNAcentral
AUUUAGAGCAGGAUAUCCAGGAAGCAUUUUCAAAGCUAGUUCUAAGAGCCUUUACUGCAUGACCACAGAGAGUCGGACAAGUUAGGUGAAGUAAGUGCGUGUACUAGACACAUCUAAAGCAUACAUCUAUUUUUAAUGCCUGAGCAAAUGUUUAAGGUCCAAAAUGUUGAAAUGUUGCAUCUUUUUUUCCACUAAUAGUUUUCAGGAGUGAGCAGAACCAGAACUGCAAAAACAAUGCAAGAUUAUUUUAAACAGAUUUCCCUUCUGGUUCUAUAAGAUAAACAGGUUUAGAAAUUUGUGCUAAAUUCUGCAUUUCUGGAGGCUCAUGGAAGCUGGAAUCAACCCCUUUUGAAACCUGCCCUGCUAUCUACUUGUGUUCCAGUAAGAUCGCAAAUUGGCUGCUGCUUCCAAGGCUAAGCCAAAGUCCAGCUGCAAAUGUGAGGUGCUGAAGAUCUGCCUUAAGGUUCUGCAGCUUGCAUAAGCUUCUUCCAAUGAGCAUGCUGUUCUCACCAGGAAAGAACAACCCUACCCUCCCUCCAGUAAGAUCCACAUGACCUCAGUUACAGCGGCAAGGGCAAGGUAUUCAUAAAAAUCUGAGAUCAAGCAUUGGAACAAACACUUUAAAAUACAUGCAGAAGCUAAGAAGGAUCCAUGAAAAGCUGAACUGGAAAUACCACUGUGUUAAAACCACAGAAAGAAGCUCACAGGAAGAAAAAUCUUCCAUGAAAAUUUGCUAUUUUCACUUUAUCUGCAUUCAUCAGACC